Molecule: long non-coding RNA, 3599 nt
Organism: Callithrix jacchus (white-tufted-ear marmoset)
Lineage: Eukaryota; Metazoa; Chordata; Mammalia; Primates; Cebidae
Source: Ensembl
AUGUUUGGAUUUUGCAGGCACGGGAAGAAACUAAAGGUCAAUCACACCAGUGGAAGUUCUAAAGAACUCUUUUCAUUGGCCUGGGGUCUUGGAAAAGGUGAGGGUUCCUCCCAGGUUAGAAUUCCCCUUCUUCCACACCCCUUCAGAUUCCAUGUUUGGGUCCCCUUCCACAAACACUCCCCUUGUGGAAACUGUCAUUCUCUCCCUUGGAUUUCCCUCCGGAGUCCCCUUCCAAGCUCUCUCGUGGAAGCCUGUCUUCCCCUCCUAAACUCCAUCUCUCUCUCUCUCUCUCUCUCUCUCUCUCUCUCUAUUCCCUUCCACUCAGUGUGGAAGCUGCUUUCCUCUCCUGGAUUCCAUCUUUCUGGAUUAUCUCACUCAGUGUGAGUUAGCUGUUUCUUUCUCCUUCUCCUGUUUCUCUCUCUCUUUAAAUAAAUCACUUUCUACAAACACUUGAGUCCAGCAUUUACUGCACACUGUGCAGUGGUCCCCUCUCUUGUUCUUGAGAGGGCAGGAGACCAAGAUCCUGGAAAAAUGUCCUCUCAGGGGAGCUGAGGGCACCCUGAACCCCUGUACCCCAAUACUACACUUCAUAGAAAACUAAAAUGGUUCAGCUGCUACAACAAAUAGUAUGGUGGUUCCUCAAAAAUUAAAAAUAGAAUUGUCAUUUGAUCCAGUAAUUUCACUUCUGAAUAUACAUCCAAAAGAAUUGAAAGCAUCAUCUCAAUGAGUUAUUUGUACAUCCAUCUUCGUAGUAGCAUUAUUCACAAUAGCCAGAAGGUGGAAGCAACCCAAAUGUUGACCAACAGAUGAAUGGAUAACAAAUGUGUUGUAUAUACACCGAUGAAUACUGUUCUCUCUUAAAAGUAAUUCUGACACGUGCUAUAACAUGGAUGAACCCUGAGGACCUUAUGCUAAGUGAAAUAAGCCAGUUACAAAAAGACAACUACUACAUAAAUCCACCUAUAUGCAGUACAUUCAUAGUGACAGAAAAUAAAAUGGUUGUUGCCAGGGGCUGUGGGGGAAGGCUUGGAGAGUUGUUUACUUAAUACAGAGUUUCAGUUUUGUAAGAUAAAAAAAUUCUGGAAUUGAGUGCAUGACAAUAUGAAAUAUACUCAGCACUACUGAACUGUAUAUUUAAAUAUGAUAAAAUUGUAAAUUUUAUGUUAUAUGUAUUUUAUCAUUUAAUUUCUUUUAAAGAAAAAGUCGUCAAAAAAUUAAUUCAAGUAACAUCUAAGACUUGAAGGUCAUGAAUUUUCUGACUGAAAGAGAUCAAUGAACGCUCAGACCAAUGGAUGGAUAUCAACAUAAGUCAAGAUAGUCAUCGUGAAAUUUUAAAGCACUUGGUUCAAAGAAAAUAAAAUUCUUGGCUUUCAGAGAUUGAGGAAGUCACACAUAAAGAUAAGAAAUAUUAAUGAUUCUGAUGUUCAUAUGCAACACCGAAAGCUAGAAAUUGAACAAACCUUCAAAUAUCCAAGGGAAAAGUUGUUCUUGCAGACAAAGACUCUAAUAAUUAACUUGUUGUGCAUUCUUUUGCAGAAAGCUGUUAGGGGAUGUGCUCAACCAAAAAGAGGAAAUAAAUCAAGGAAGAAAAUAAAGUCAUCAAAUAGAGGAAAUAGAACAUUUUUAAAUAAGCACAGAAUUGAAGAGUCUCAUGGAUUACCAAGAAGGCCAAAGCAAAAAGGGUGACCCUUGAGAUGGGCCUGGGAAGGUCUCAAUGCAGUCAGUCAAAGAUUGGGAUGGAUUUUUUUUCAAAGUGAAACCAAUAGCAACCCCAGUGUGGUAGAGAGUAUUAAGAAAAGAUCUAGAUAACUGAAGGGGAGUUUGGCAUAAGCAUGCAAAAAUCAAUCAAGAAAAUAAUAAUAAAACUGUGCAUAGGGAUAGACAGGUGUUGUGCAUAUUCCAUGUCUCAGUGGUGAGUGAUAGUUACGUCUUCAUAAUGAAAACAAUGAAUGUUUUCUAACCUAAAAUUUUAAGAUUAUUAUACUGAAAGGCGUGGAAGAGGAAAGUGCAUAUGUUAUAACUGGGAAGGUUUCAACUUCCUUACUGGAAACCGGACAGAUUUAAUUGAAUUGAAAAGAAAAAGGAAGAGAGACAGAGAGAGAAAUAGUGAGACGCAGAGAGAGAGAUACAUAGAGAAAGGUCCCAUAGGUACAUAUUUUGCAAAUACAGGAGAAUACACCAAAAGAAUCAUAAAAGAAGGUGCUGCCUGUAAGGAAUGAGAUGUGGAGAAAGAGAAGCAGUGCCAACUCUGUUCUGAACAAGCCUUGAGGUAUCAUUAACCACAUUAAAUUAUUUGUACAAAUACUUUUAAUACAAAUAAAAUUAUAUAAAAUAUUAUAAUAUUUAAAAAGUUUAAGAAAAAAACAGGUACUAAGUCUCAUGGCACCGGAUAAGAUAAUUGCUUUUCAGUGAAAGGAAAAAAAAUUUUUUAACACAAAAAUAGGAAAGCAAAAUGUGGAGAAAACUUCAGAUGAAAUUUUUAGAACACAUUUUUUUAGCGGAUACACGCUUAUAUUCAUUCCAUCAUGGAGCCACAUUUCUUAUCUCUUGAAUUUUGCAUAACCAUCCAGAGCUGAAAAGUAAUUGAGGUAUUAAUGGAGCUUCAGUCCUAUAACUUGUGCGGCAUGAACAAGCCAAUGUGUGAACCAACGAAAGAUGUUCCCUGGACACUCAGCUUCAGAAAAUUAGUGAAAAAGAGCCUGCAUGAGAAUUCUAGAAAGUACAGUGCAAUGGAGAAACUAUUAUGUAUUUUGUUUCAGUAAAAUGGUCAUUUUCAUCCAGAAAUAUUUCUCUUUCUUUCUCUUUCUGCUUUCAUUCCUCUCCUUCUUCCUUUCCCACUCUGCCUCUGUCUCUUUUUUUCUCUCUGCUCCCUCCACCCAAUAUAUAAAAAGUAUUUGAGUCUCUGGUAUGCUUAAGUUGGCAAAUUGUUGAGCUCAGCAAAACUGUGUUAAGAAGUGUUGAAAUAUUUAUCCCCAAAUUGGUUCAGCUUGUAAGCAAUAAGAGCAGAUGAAUGGUUCCUGGAAUGUGUAGUACAUCAUUACAGGGCUUACCCAUGCAUCAUUUAUUGCUGGUAGAUUCUUUAUAAUGUACUCUCAUGAAGUCAGAAAGAGGUAUUGAAGGAGAGGUCCACCAAAUAGUACUUCCAGAUGGAUAGAAUGUCCCUGCCAGGGGAUACACAAAGGCCUAAGGACAGAGGACUCUGUCAUUUUUAUUUCUACUUCUGCACUUUUAUAAAUAUAUUAAAAGUCCAAACAAGCCUUUUUAUUAGCUCUUCCCACACCCAUUAUUUCAUCAGUAAUGUUCAGUGUAUUCUACUUAUUCUGGUAAAGUAUUGUCUCUUUAAUUUCUAGUUACUUUGGAAUAGGAGUCAUGUGGGAUAAGAAUCUAAUUGGUUUGGAAAUUCAAAAAUGUAAUCUUUUGCCUGAUGUUGAAUUUAAAUGUGGUAUUCCAAGUAAAACAUCAUGGCCCCCAAUGCAAAAAAAUAAAAUUGAUGCUGUCGACAUGUUACAAAUGUUUGAGAUUUCCCACAUGUGGGGAAGGGAGAUGGAUUGGAAUUUCUGGGAGGAAAGGUGAACUAUAAAAGAUUAAUAACAUAAGGC